UAUCUCUGUAGAGUCUGCAUAUCAAUAAGCGGAGGAAAAGAAACUAACAAGGAUUCCCUUAGUAACGGCGAGUGAAGCGGGAAGAGCUCAAAUUUGAAAUCUUCAAGGUUUUACCUUGACGAAUUGUAGUUUAAAGAAGUGUUUUCUGUUGAAGUUUUGGUAAAAGUUCUUUGGAAUAGGACAUCAUAGAGGGUGAGAAUCCCGUAUUUGACCAGUUAUUUUCAGCUGUGUGAUACACUUUCAAAGAGUCGGAUUGUUUGGGAAUGCAGUCCAAAAUGGGUGGUAAAUUUCAUCUAAAGCUAAAUAUUGGCGAGAGACCGAUAGCGAACAAGUACCGUGAGGGAAAGAUGAAAAGAACUUUGAAAAGAGAGUUAAACAGUACGUGAAAUUGUCAAAAGGGAAGCGUUUGACACCAGUGUUGUUUUCUCGAAAAUCAAUUAAAAAGAGUUAGAUUUUGUUGUGUAUUGACCUUAACAGCUUGCAUUUCAAUUUUCUUGCUUUUUUUAAUGCACUUUUCGUUUAACAAGUCAACAUCAGUUUCUUUUGUUGUAAAAAGGUCAUUGGAAGGUGGCUUUCUUUUCGGAGAAAGUGUUUAUAGCCUUUGACUCCUGCAAUCGGAGAGACUGAGGUCUGCAGCGUAGAUCCUUCGGGGUUAGAUACAUUUGUGCUAAGUUAUAGCUUUUUAUAGACAACUUGUUGACUAUGAUUAGUCUUGUAGCUUACUCGCUUAUGCUAUUUUACCUACGCUUAGGAUGUUGAAGAUGUAGCACAUCAU
RNAcentral lists this ribosomal RNA (775 nucleotides) under uncultured Neocallimastigales. RNAcentral describes it as "partial large subunit ribosomal RNA". It matches the Rfam family "Eukaryotic large subunit ribosomal RNA", at positions 24 to 620 of the family's 3401-position model. Lineage: Eukaryota; Fungi; Neocallimastigomycota; Neocallimastigomycetes; Neocallimastigales. The record is from RNAcentral.